RNAcentral lists this ribosomal RNA (260 nucleotides) under uncultured prokaryote. RNAcentral's name for it is "partial 16S ribosomal RNA". It matches the Rfam family "Bacterial small subunit ribosomal RNA", at positions 524 to 782 of the family's 1533-position model. The record is from RNAcentral.
UACGUAGGUGGCAAGCGUUGUCCAGAUUUAUUGGGCGUAAAGGGAGCGCAGGCGGUGACUUAAGUCUGAUGUGAAAGCCCACGGCUCAACCGUGGAAGGUCAUUGGAAACUGGGUCACUUGAAUAUAGACGAGGAAAGUGGAAUUCCAUGUGUAGCGGUGAAAUGCGUAGAUAUAUGGAGGAACACCAGUGGCGAAGGCGACUUUCUGGUCUAUUAUUGACGCUGAGGCUCGAAAGCAUGGGUAGGCAAACAGGAUUAGA